This 465-nucleotide ribosomal RNA is filed under the name uncultured bacterium. Its description in RNAcentral is "partial 16S ribosomal RNA". It matches the Rfam family "Bacterial small subunit ribosomal RNA", at positions 338 to 795 of the family's 1533-position model. The record is from RNAcentral.
CCUACGGGAGGCAGCAGUAGGGAAUCUUCCACAAUGGACGAAAGUCUGAUGGAGCAACGCCGCGUGAGUGAAGAAGGGUUUCGGCUCGUAAAGCUCUGUUGGUAGUGAAGAAAGAUAGAGGUAGUAACUGGCCUUUAUUUGACGGUAAUUACUUAGAAAGUCACGGCUAACUACGUGCCAGCAGCCGCGGUAAUACGUAGGUGGCAAGCGUUGUCCGGAUUUAUUGGGCGUAAAGCGAGUGCAGGCGGUUCAAUAAGUCUGAUGGGAAAGCCUUGGGCUCAAACGGCGAAUUGCAUCAGAAACUGGUGAACUUGAGUGUAGAAGAGGAGAGUGGAACGCCAGGUGUAGCGGUGGAAUGCGUAGAUAUAUGGAAGAACACCAGUGGCGAAGGCGGCUCUCUGGUGUGCAACUGACGCUGAGGCUCGAAAGCAUGGGUAGCGAACAGGAUUAGAUACCCCUGUAGUC